UACGAGGGGGGCGAGCGUUGUUCGGAAUUAUUGGGCGUAAAGGGUGCGUAGGCGGUUUGGUAAGUCUUGUGUGAAAUCUCCAGGCUCAACUUGGAGUCUGCACGAGAAACUGCCGGGCUUGAGUGUGGGAGAGGUGAGUGGAAUUCCCGGUGUAGAGGUGAAAUUCGUAGAUAUUGGGAAGAACACCGGUGGCGAAGGCGGCUCACUGGCUCGUAACUGACGCUCAUGCACGACAGCGUGGGGAUCAAACAGG
This 253-nucleotide ribosomal RNA is filed under the name uncultured bacterium. RNAcentral describes it as "partial 16S ribosomal RNA". It matches the Rfam family "Bacterial small subunit ribosomal RNA", at positions 524 to 776 of the family's 1533-position model. The record is from RNAcentral.